Pogoniulus pusillus (Red-fronted tinkerbird) is the source of this 950-nucleotide long non-coding RNA. RefSeq lists it as uncharacterized. NCBI's taxonomy places the organism in Eukaryota, Metazoa, Chordata, Aves, Piciformes, Lybiidae. The record is from RefSeq and is a predicted model, not a curated record. The transcript has 3 exons.
AUUCUGAAUAUGAUGAGAAUUAAAGCCACUGAUUUACUGGGGCUGCUCAGGUCUCUCUAUUGGUUUUAGUUGUCUAUAGCUGGUAUAAAUGCAGAAUAUUGGACAAUUAAUUUCCUUAAUGAAAGUUGAAGGAUAAAACUUCUGUUUGAAAGACAAAUGCCUUCAGCAGAUAGUGUUUUGGGCAUCAGGUUUUUGCAUGCUGGAGUCUGUGUACUGGAUCACAGCUGAUCAGCAAUGAGGGAACAUUAAAGACUUUGGAAGUCCGUUUUGGAUCUGUCAAAAAAUGACUUUGGCACUGGUCCAUUAUUCAGCCCUCUGUGAACAAAUGUGCAAAGCAGCUCACUGAAGCAGAGACAGCAUUGACAGACGGGUCACUGAUUUUUUUCUGUCAGCAAGAACGAAAAUGUGGUGAGACAACCAGAGGACAGUGAAAGUCAUACAAGAGGAUCCAGCCUAUUUCCUUCUUAAACAAAGAUGUCUGGAAUGAGCAUCAUCCUAGUGUUUAUUUGCUGUUUCUUGGGAUGCUAAGGAGGAUCGAGCUUACUGAAGUAGUGGAAUAUCUGUGCAGUCACUUUGGAAGACAGGGAUAUUGGUGGCUCUCUGUUGUGCUUCUGGAAAACUGCAAUGAAAGAACAGCCUCAUAGAGGGAAAUAAAACCUGAAUUUGUGCUACUAUAGUUCCUGUAUAUUCAACUUAAAUAUCUCAAAGUUUAUGUGACCUCCAUAUAGAGAUAGUCAAGGAGCUGGUCCAGAUUGCAGCAAGGUUGAUAUAUCUGCUCAUGGACUACUUUGGAGUUCGGAAGGACUAGCAUCUCUAUGGUAUUUCUGUCCUAGCCACAAACUGCUUCAUUACCCUACCUCUCUUAUGUACGCUGAGAACUACAUAAAGGAGUUGCUUGGUUGUGCACCAUACCUGGUUUUCCUCAGGUCGCUUUCUAAAACUUAGCCUGA